This 241-nucleotide long non-coding RNA is filed under the name Bos taurus (domestic cattle). Its description in RNAcentral is "long non-coding RNA NONBTAT000352". Lineage: Eukaryota; Metazoa; Chordata; Mammalia; Artiodactyla; Bovidae. The record is from RNAcentral.
UAAUUUAUAACAUAAGAUCAUAUUAAGUCAGAACUUAAGCCUGAUAAGACUCUUUAUGAUUCAAACUCAGGAUUCUACUGCCUCCAACAAAUAUUAAUUUGAUUUUACUAUUAAUUUUCCUAGUAAUUACAGAUUCAAUAUUUGUAUAUCUCUUUUACUAAUGAAAGGCUUUCUUUAUGCCAUUCAGUCAACGUUUUUCAUCAGCUAAUACUUUCAAGUAAUUAAAAAAUGAGAACAAAAC